GAUCAUGGCUCAGGAUGAACGCUAGCGGCAAGCUUAAUACAUGCAAGUCGAGGGGCAGCAUGACUGUAGCAAUACAGUUGAUGGCGACCGGCAAACGGGUGCGGAACACGUACAGAACCUUCCUUCGAGCGGGGAAUAGCCCAGAGUAAAUUUGGAUUAAUACCCCAUAGUAUAUUGGAGUGGCAUCACUUUGAUAUUAAAGAUUUAUCACUUGAAGAUGGCUGUGCGGCUGAUUAGAUAGUUGGCGGGGUAACGGCCCACCAAGUCUGCGAUCAGUAACUGGUGUGAGAGCACGACCAGUCACACGGGCACUGAGACACGGGCCCGACUCCUACGGGAGGCAGCAGUAAGGAAUAUUGGUCAAUGGACGAAAGUCUGAACCAGCUAUGCCGCGUGGAGGAUGAAGGCCCUCUGGGUUGUAAACUUCUUUAUAUGGGACGAAAAGGGCCUUUCUAGGUCAACUGACGGUACCAUGUGAAUAAGCACCGGCUAACCCGUG
RNAcentral lists this ribosomal RNA (499 nucleotides) under uncultured bacterium. RNAcentral describes it as "bacterial SSU rRNA". It matches the Rfam family "Bacterial small subunit ribosomal RNA", at positions 15 to 507 of the family's 1533-position model. The record is from RNAcentral.